UGGCGGACGGGUGAGUAACGCGUAGGAACCUGUCGAACAGUGGGGGAUAACGCUGGGAAACCGGCGCUAAUACCGCAUGUGGUCGGGCAACCGAAGAAAGCAUUUUAUGCGCUGUUUGAGGGGCCUGCGUCCGAUUAGCUUGUUGGUGGGGUAAAGGCCUACCAAGGCAUCGAUCGGUAGCUGGUCUGAGAGGAUGGUCAGCCACACUGGGACUGAGACACGGCCCAG
RNAcentral lists this ribosomal RNA (228 nucleotides) under uncultured bacterium. Its description in RNAcentral is "partial 16S ribosomal RNA". It matches the Rfam family "Bacterial small subunit ribosomal RNA", at positions 96 to 334 of the family's 1533-position model. The record is from RNAcentral.